RNAcentral lists this long non-coding RNA (697 nucleotides) under Pan troglodytes (chimpanzee). RNAcentral's name for it is "long non-coding RNA NONPTRT005328". Lineage: Eukaryota; Metazoa; Chordata; Mammalia; Primates; Hominidae. The record is from RNAcentral.
CAGAACUGAGCUCUCGGGGUGAGUGAAGAAGGACAGCAGAGCCAAGGCAGCCCACAGAGUCAUCAUCACAGAAUUUAGGGGCCUGGGAUGGCUUUCAGCUCUCACUCUGCCAGGGAGGGAUAAGGCCAACCCGAAUCUGGGCAGGGCCCUGAGCCAUGGUGGAUUUCCUGUUCUCCUCCCUAUCCUGGUGCCUGCAGACCCAGGAAAAGCUCCAGCCUCCCUCAGAAUGGACCAGGGGGAGAGGGAGGCCAGGAGGACAGGAGGAAUGGGCUCAGCUGCUUAGCCCCACGUGGGCAACAGGUCCUGAGCACUGACUAUCCUCAUACCUGAGAGGACGAGGGAAGGAGGGAGGAGUGGGCCUGGACCCCACGAAGCCCCCUUGGCAAGAGCUGUAAGCUGCCUGUCUUCACCUCCUGAGAACAACAGCCUAUAGGGCAAAGGCCAGCUCGUGCUGUGUCCGCAAGGAGAAACCCGUCUUCACCUCCUUUCUGGGGCUUCAGCACCUGCAAGGAUGCUUAGGCUGGAGAAACAGGAGGAGGAAGAGGAGGAGGAAGCAAAGAGGCAACAGGAGCUCAGAAGAGCGUACGCGGGCUUCCAGCCGGUAUGCACAGGCAAGAAGUGAAGUGGGCAGCCCUGGGGCAGAGGAUGCGACUACUGGACUGAGGUUGAAUCCUUUACGUGUCGCCACGCGGUCCCC